CAAACAUCACAUAACUGUGGCACAUCUAUUGAAAACAAAUAUAUUGGUUUGGUUUGUUACAUACAUACAAACUGUGUAUAUAUUGUUGAUACAUUGCAAAUAACAAACACUUGUUCAACCUCUAGAUUCAAGACCAGGCUGAGUUCAACAUUCGCGGUGCGCUCAUCUCCUGUUUCUUCAAACUUGUCUGAGCCAGAAUCCCCCACAUUAUGAAAAAAUGAAUCUAUAGACAACACAAAAGACUGGGGUUGAUAAGAUCAACAAAUUAUGGUUUCCAAGCAGCUGGCGGAGGUGGUGGAGUAGGGAACAUGGGUGGUACUGCAGAGAAUAUCGUGUUCUUGUCAAUUCCAACACUUUUAUCUCCAGAUAGAGCUACGAGGGCUGCAACCAACCCAGCAUUUCCGGCAAGUGUUGGCUCGGUAUAAUUGUAAUUAGUACGAACAUCAUGGAAACCAUCAUUCUUGUCUGGUCCAGCAACCAUGGCACCAACAAGAAUAUUGGGAUUAGGCUUAGAUGAAUCCCUCCAUUUCCACCCUCCUUUACAAUUAUACUUGACCUUGUUUUUAGGAACUGAUGCACCUCGAUGGUGGACACGUUUUGGAUAGUGAUUGCCAAAGCCAACAACAUAACUCAUUUUCCUGGGGUUCUUGCCAAGGAUAUAGUCAAUCUGAGUCUGUGCAAAUUCACGUAGGACAUCGGUGGAGUAGAAAUUAGGUCCACAAUACCAUCCAGGGGUGUCGGCUGCUGCAAGGUAGUCACUAUACAAGGUAGCCAGGAAGGCAGCAUUGACUACAUACUGAAGUGGCUGAGGCCUUCCAUGGUUUAAUUCUAUCAGCCCACCUUUCGUUCGAUUAAAUGAAGUGAAGAAUGGCAAGAAUGAGCACAUGACUAUGCUUGUCUGGUUAUGAAACGUACUCAAAAUUUCUUCAUAAGGAUAUCCAGGGCUCAAAAACAAUCUCAAACGGCUUAGAAGCACUUGUGCUCCAAAGAGCUUAUUAUCCCAGCUGAACACGCCAUAAUCAGGACCUCCCCAGAAAGCACCAGCGUGUUUGGCGAUACCAGGAGUCGUAGCAAGCUGAAGAUAUGAAGUAUUUCCUGUAGCAUAAUAUAGCCAGGAUGCACCCCACACAAACUCAUCCCAAUAACUAGUCGAAUUGUAGAAAAUUGAAGCUUCAUUUCCGCUACUGUAUCUACCACGUUGUUCCCUGGCAAACUUGAACAGAGUUCUAGCACCAUGGACAAGCUUUUGUGAGUACACUUUGUUGUCCUUAAAUACAAUGGAAGCAGAAGCCAGUGCAGCAGCCAUCUCGGCAGCAAGAUCCGAGCAACUGUGACAUUCAGUUACAGGCCGUGGAUAAUCAAUGUCUUCUGGACGCACCCAACAAUAGUGAUCAUUGGGAUCUGGUCCUCCUGAGGUAUCCCCUAUCCCCACUUGUGAAACGAGUCGAUCAAUGGUAUCAGCUGAGGAAUUGAAUGUUUUCAAGAGAUAAUCAGUUCCCCACUUGAUAACAUCCUUGAUAUGAGUGAGCUCUCCAGCAGCUUCAUAUUUUGCAGGAUACUCAAUCACACUCCAACUCAAGACAGUUAAAGCAAAAGAUUGAGGGAAAUUAAACUUGAUGGCAUCUCCUGCAUCAUAAUAACCCCCAACCAAAUUCUUAAAGGUAGUGGAACCAUCGGAUUUCCCAUCCUGUAGAGCUGAACUCCCCCUCCAUGAUACAUUAUUAUGCUUAGGAAGUUUCCCAGAGCGCUGUGCAUUGAAGAACAUGAUAGCUUUACGAAGAGCUAAAGUGUAGUUAUCUGGUGGAGGAUUAUGGUGUCGGUGCUUAGGUACAGUUUUAACAAUAAGAGUAACAAAUCCAGCAAUAAGUGCAGCUGCAAUAAUGCAUCCGAGAGUCCAUUUGAAUACUUUUCUACUAACAAUAAUACAACCCAGAUCUACAUAUUUCUUCUUCUUUUGCUCUGUAGGACCUAAUAACCAACUUUGCUGCGUUUCAUCUAAAUUUCGUGACAAAGCUGCUUUAUCAAAAUCCUGCAAGUUCCUGCUCCGAUCAUCAUCAGUUGCUGAAUCUGUUGCAUUAAUUUCUAAUGCACCUCCCCAUGGAUCCCUCCCAUACAUACUGAGUUGAUGAUUGUUUGAGCUCCUAGUACAGUAGUGAAGGGAGAGAGGAAGAGGAAAGAGAAAUAGAUUCAAAUGGGCAAUAAUGAUCAAGUAUAUGAAGGUGGAAGGAGUUGAAGGCACCGACACCGACACUACUAGACAAACAUCGCUCACCCUCUUUGAUGCUUCUUUGCUUCCUACUUUAAUUGGAGUGUAAAAUUGGCCUAUUUACAUAGAAUAGAUUCCCUUCAUUCACCAACAAACAAC
RNAcentral lists this unclassified non-coding RNA (2365 nucleotides) under Hevea brasiliensis (rubber tree). Lineage: Eukaryota; Viridiplantae; Streptophyta; Magnoliopsida; Malpighiales; Euphorbiaceae. The record is from RNAcentral.